CUGACGGUGGCUCAGUGGUUAGCACUAUUGCCUCACAGCAAGAAGGUCCUGGGUUUGAAUACCAGCUGUCCCA
Molecule: transfer RNA, 73 nt
Filed under: Megalops atlanticus (tarpon)
Lineage: Eukaryota; Metazoa; Chordata; Actinopteri; Elopiformes; Megalopidae
Description: tRNA-OTHER
Source: RNAcentral